CACGCCCUAAACGAUGUCAACUGGUUGUUGGGAGAGUAAUCUCUUAGUAACGAAGCUAACGCGAGAAGUUGACCGCCUGGGGAGUACGGUCGCAAGAUUAAAACUCAAAGGAAUUGACGGGGGCCCGCACAAGCGGUGGAUGAUGUGGAUUAAUUCGAUGCAACGCGAAAAACCUUACCUACCCUUGACAUGUACGGAACUUGCUAGAGAUAGCUUGGUGCUCGAAAGAGAGCCGUAACACAGGUGC
This 247-nucleotide ribosomal RNA is filed under the name uncultured beta proteobacterium. Its description in RNAcentral is "partial 16S ribosomal RNA". It matches the Rfam family "Bacterial small subunit ribosomal RNA", at positions 796 to 1041 of the family's 1533-position model. Lineage: Bacteria; Pseudomonadati; Pseudomonadota; Betaproteobacteria. The record is from RNAcentral.